UGAUUAUGGGGGAACCAUUAUCUCUCUCUCUCUACCCAAAAACUCAUUUUAUACCUGCCAACAUCUGAGGGGAGGAGGGGGCAAAGGAGCAAAGGCUUCUAUAACAGUAUUGGCAAAUCUGUGAAGAGCAUCCAUUCUCAAGCUGUCAUAUCACCUCCUGGCUCUCACAGCACUACAUAUCCUGCAGUAAGCAUCUGUUUUUGUUUUAAUUUUGCGAACUACUGUGCUUACAGGACUCUUCCACUAAACCCCUAAAAAAAAUUCCAUGCCAAAAUGUAAUCAGUUGCUCAGGGAAAUCCGCUCCUAAAUGAACUGUAAUUGAAAUGCACUUUGAUUUCACUAUUAUUGACUUUAAUAUAAAAUGAAUGCUCUACAUAUGAACUUGUAAAUGUGGGAAAUCCCAAUGGUUUAACUGGUAAAAAAAAAAAUGUAAAAAACACCUACAUUUCCUGAGCUGUGCACACUGUGGGUUUAUAGCGAAAUCACAACUCUCUCUCUCUAUAUGUCUUUGUCCACCCCCCGCCUCCCCUCUAUGCCCAAAGAUGGCGAAAGCAACAUGAGUUUCUCUCACUUCCUCUCCUCUGAUGACCAUCUGUGUGUUGGUUUCAGCCAGGCGCUUGGCACAUCUGUGUACUCACAUCCCCUCUCACUUCUCUCAUCCUCACACUACUUACCCCAACAAAAACGUGUGGCAUUGUGUGUGUGUGUGUGUGUGUGUGUGUGUGUGUGUGCAGCAGUGAGGAGUAUUUGUUGUCACAUGCGCACAGACCACUCCAUCAGGGUUUGGGUUUAAUGAGUCCUGGGGGGUCAGAGGUCAAGGAGGUGACGGCUACAAUGUGGCUAGGGUUUCACAUGAGAGCCACUUUCAGCUGUUCCAGCUUAGUGAAGUUUACUGUGGCAUCUUUGAUUCCAAAUGUGUGACAGCAAUGUGUCAGCAUAUGUCUUUUCCCGGAACAGGCAAAGUCCUACAUGUUGUCACCCAUGUGGUGGAGUGUAAUGGGAGAUGGAAAUUUACAUGACAAGUGUCAUUGAAAACCUGCCAUGACAUGAUCUUUUAUCAAACUGAUCACACAAAAUUGAUAAAACAUGCAUGCUCAAUGGACAAGACAUUACACAGCAAAUUUUAUUUCAUAACCAUGAAUAGUAUACUGUUUAUCAAAAUGAAAUGACUUCUUCAAAGAAA
Molecule: long non-coding RNA, 1183 nt
Organism: Stegastes partitus (bicolor damselfish)
Lineage: Eukaryota; Metazoa; Chordata; Actinopteri; Pomacentridae
Exons: 2
Source: RefSeq, a predicted model, not a curated record